This 808-nucleotide ribosomal RNA is filed under the name Klebsiella aerogenes. RNAcentral describes it as "bacterial SSU rRNA". It matches the Rfam family "Bacterial small subunit ribosomal RNA", at positions 230 to 1026 of the family's 1533-position model. The record is from RNAcentral. Lineage: Bacteria; Pseudomonadati; Pseudomonadota; Gammaproteobacteria; Enterobacterales; Enterobacteriaceae.
CCCAGAUGGGAUUAGCUAGUAGGUGGGGUAAUGGCUCACCUAGGCGACGAUCCCUAGCUGGUCUGAGAGGAUGACCAGCCACACUGGAACUGAGACACGGUCCAGACUCCUACGGGAGGCAGCAGUGGGGAAUAUUGCACAAUGGGCGCAAGCCUGAUGCAGCCAUGCCGCGUGUAUGAAGAAGGCCUUCGGGUUGUAAAGUACUUUCAGCGAGGAGGAAGGCAUUAAGGUUAAUAACCUUAGUGAUUGACGUUACUCGCAGAAGAAGCACCGGCUAACUCCGUGCCAGCAGCCGCGGUAAUACGGAGGGUGCAAGCGUUAAUCGGAAUUACUGGGCGUAAAGCGCACGCAGGCGGUCUGUCAAGUCGGAUGUGAAAUCCCCGGGCUCAACCUGGGAACUGCAUUCGAAACUGGCAGGCUAGAGUCUUGUAGAGGGGGGUAGAAUUCCAGGUGUAGCGGUGAAAUGCGUAGAGAUCUGGAGGAAUACCGGUGGCGAAGGCGGCCCCCUGGACAAAGACUGACGCUCAGGUGCGAAAGCGUGGGGAGCCAGAAAACAGGAUUAGAUACCCUGGUAGUCCACGCCGUAAACGAUGUCGACUUGGAGGUUGUGCCCUUGAGGCGUGGCUUCCGGAGCUAACGCGUUAAGUCGACCGCCUGGGGAGUACGGCCGCAAGGUUAAAACUCAAAUGAAUUGACGGGGGCCCGCACAAGCGGUGGAGCAUGUGGUUUAAUUCGAUGCAACGCGAAGAACCUUACCUACUCUUGACAUCCAGAGAACUUAGCAGAGAUGCUUUGGUGCCUUCGGGAA